CGCCAGUGCUGUCGUAUGUGCUCCUUCGACUUUGUCUUUAGCGCUUUUUUAUAAAAACUGUUGGAUUUCAGGAUGCGGCAGUUAUGCAUUAUCAUUCGGCAGACGUGCUGUGGCGACGACUUUUCAUGUCAAAGCAUGAAUCGGGCCAAAGAAUGAGUUUUCUUCUUUCUGUCAAUUAUCAGUCUUCAUUAUGGCCUGACAGUACUUAGGAUGUAGUGUGCUAGAACUGAUCCUGUGUACUUGGUAUAAGUUAGUACAAAUUUUUUUUAAACGUGGCAUUAAAAUUAUACUGGUGCACCCUAUUGCAUUAUCUGUCGUAUCCCAGUGAGAGUUUUACACAGUUUUUUUUCUAGCAGUAAUACUUUUAGGGAGGAUAUUCUUGGUUACAUUCUGAAACAUUUGGGUGCAUGAGAAGUGCCGUGAAAUGUUUUUUACUAUUUUGGCCAAGAAGCUGCUCUAUUGCGCAGUUUAUUUUUAUUUUGUUUAGCUUGCUUCUUCUAUGUUCUUGCUAUGUGAAGCAUCAUUGUAGCAUGAAUCAACUUUUUAAGCCGGAGUUUGUGAGUCUAGGUACACAGGUAGCUGCCUUUGACGUACUAUUCACCGAUAAUUGCACUUUGGUUUUGCUUGAUUGUGUGUGUGCUUUUAUGCCAUUUUACUAUGUACCAUGAGAUUUGUAAGGAUUCCUCGCUAGUUGCGAUUUCUCUCUUUUAUUAUGUGCUUUCGAUUUUACAUUUUUCUCAUUCUUUGGCUAGUGCGCGGUCCUGUUUGCUUGGAUGGCAAUAUAUAAUUUAUCUUUCUUUUUUUAGGCUCCCGAAAUUCACAUGCUGCAUUGUACUGGGCAAGUCACAAUGUUUAGAACACGACUUUUGAGCUUUGGCUUGUAGUAUUUUAUCCUCAUAAGAUGAGCUGACAGGGCUUUGCAUGGGAAGGGCAUACACAACACUUUUGUCUCAAUUAUUAUGUGCAUUUAUUAUAGAAGCUGCAUAUGUGAAAAGCAGCAGUUUCUUGAACAUUCAGUAAAUGUGCCUUAUGGUGACUUUCUUUUUGCUCCAAACUGAGCUAUCUGGAAUAUUAAAAAAUAUCUUGGAACCAUUCUGAGUAGUGAAAACUAGGCAUAGGCUCAAGGAAGGAUUGUGUGCGGCAGUAAUAGUGAUACAAAGGUCAAAUUUGUCUCCUCCCCCUCUUUGGGUUGGUCGACAUUCAAGGUGCUGUAGCAAGGUGUUGGUUUUGUUGUCGUGUCUCCAAAGACAACAGCACACACAUUUGUUCCCUUGAACAUAAAGGUUAGAUUGCAACUGCACAGUACUAUAUGCUUUCUGCUGUGUUUGUGCCAUGUGUGAUGUUUAUGCUUUGUUGAAGGGACACCAUAGAGGAACCUUGAGCUGAAUUGGUAAAUAACCCUUCAGGAAUAUCAUGGGCACCGUCAGUGGAGUGCUUGCGAGCCAUAAAAGACACAAAAAUGAUAGAUGGGUUUGAACUUCCUGUGCUAGCUCCUUGCGACAUCAUGAGAUUUGGACAGCGUCUGUUUGGGACUAUCUAAUAGUCUUAAGCAGAAAGCGCAAUCCCAAUACAAUUCAUGUUCAUUGGUCAACAUGGAUUGCAUUGCAUUCUAAAAGAGCUAAAGACUCAAUAUAUUGAGUUUUGAGAACUUUUUCUCAAUAGAAUAGCUCAAACAUGCUAAAGUAUUUCAAAAUCUUUGACGUCCUCUUAGCACUGGUUCUUCCAAAUUGGGCGUGAAAGUCAGAAAGGGAAACCUUGCCCUUUGUUUUCUUUGCCUAAUAAGCAAUCUUUUUCUUCAAAAUAAAGGUAAUUAGAGUCCUGAAAAAAAAAAAAAAAGCUUAACCAAACUAAACUAAGUGUUGCUCUUCAGUGUCCUUUUAAAUGUUCAGCUCACUAAGAACUCUUGUGUGCAUUUGUAGAAGUCUGGCUUGGUUCUCGUGCCUGUGAAUUUCACGAUUGCCUAGAAGAGCUUAUGCUGUAUGCAACCUCAAAUCACAUGCACUACACCUUACCCCUGUCAUGUUUACUGUGCUCUCACUGCAUUACAACUUUGAGGACACCUCUAAAGCCAAAAACAGAAUUGUUGAGUGCUAAACUCAUACUUGCGAUGUUGUAGUUUUGAUGUGAAUCUGUCAAUUAUGGAUAGUUUAUACAUUUGCAAUGUGUUUGGUAUACCUGGUGUCGGCGACUGAGAUUGGAUAAGCUACACCGGCAACAUUAGAAGUCUUGUACUGUGUAUCACACAUGCGGGCCCACACUGUUGGCGUCUCGAUGAUGGUGCUGAUGUAGUCUGGUGCACUAGGAUAUGCACUUAAUCCAACAUUGGCUGCUGGUUCUGAAUUCACUAUGCAUGUUAGAGUAUAAAUGAGCCUUUGAAAUUUUCACAGUUGCUUCCUUCUGGAGACAUCCAAGCAACUGGAAUGAGCAUGGAACAAAGUGGCAGACUUAAGUGUUUGGAUGUUCUCACAUUCUUCAAUGCAGCUUUAAUAGGGCUUCUCUCAACUGUUGUGUUAGUUGUCGGGCUCAGUGCUGCAAGAAGUAUAAUUCAUCUAUGCUGCACAGUAGGUGUGGGGCAUGCAAUAUGUGCGCUGGUUGGUGCAAGUAAGCGUAAUGCAAGCUUGAUCAAAUCUGUGCUCUUACUUCGUCUGCCAUUUUUUUCUCUCUCCGUACCUGUGAUUUUGCAUCAGGAGAUUUUGUAUGACAAAUAAAAUGGCUGAUGGUAGCAUUGUGGCCCA
This 2735-nucleotide long non-coding RNA is filed under the name Dermacentor andersoni. RNAcentral's name for it is "uncharacterized LOC126516808". The record is from RNAcentral. Lineage: Eukaryota; Metazoa; Arthropoda; Arachnida; Ixodida; Ixodidae.